UUUUGGGGGAAAAAAGAUAUUUUCUCUACUUUGCCCUCCAAGGUGGGCAUGGAAAUUAGUAAUACAGAUAGACCAUGGCUCUGAGAAAUUAUAUUUGAAGUUUCAUAUUUAAAUACCAAAGUUUAUUUUAUCACCCCCAUAACUUUCUAACAAGUCUUUCUUAAUGAUAAAUUUUAUCAAUACCCCAAACUCAUUUAAAAUGAUUUAAAAGUAGCAAAUUGGAUAAAGCAACACACAAAUAAAUUCCACAUUUACAAGUAAAGAAAUCACAGGGCUAUAAUCAACAUAAACUUGAAAGAAAUAAAGCAACACCUUGCUGCCACCCAUCAUUCACUGCUUACAUUUGUGGUGAAAAAGAUUUAUCUACAAUGACCUUUAGUCUGUUUCUUAACUCUGUCUGUAUUGUAAUUAGCUAAAGGCAUUGAACAAAUUAGGUUGUUCUAUCUUUUAUUCAGGUCCCAGAGGUAAAUGGCUAACUGAUGAAAUAUUUCACUCUGUGUUAU
RNAcentral lists this long non-coding RNA (503 nucleotides) under Bos taurus (domestic cattle). Its description in RNAcentral is "long non-coding RNA NONBTAT018658". Lineage: Eukaryota; Metazoa; Chordata; Mammalia; Artiodactyla; Bovidae. The record is from RNAcentral.